Long non-coding RNA from Oncorhynchus kisutch (coho salmon), 1668 nucleotides. Lineage: Eukaryota; Metazoa; Chordata; Actinopteri; Salmoniformes; Salmonidae. The record is from Ensembl.
AUGUGGCAAAAGUUCGCAAAGUUCAAGGGGGCCGAAUACUUUUGCAAGGCACUGUAUCUACCUCCAUCACUCCAGUAUCCCUGUCUCCUUCCACCUAUACAUAUCUACCUCCAUCACUCCAGUAUCUCCUUCCCCCUAUACAUAUCUACCUCCAUCACUCCAGUAUCCCUGUCUCCUUCCCCCUAUACAUAUCUACCUCCAUCACUCCAGUAUCUCUGUCUCCUUACCCCUAUAUAUAUCUACCUCCAUCACUCCAGUAUCCCUGUCUCCUAUACAUAUCUACCUCCACCACUCCAGUAUCUCUGUCUCCUUACCCCUACAUAUAUCUACCUCCAUCACUCCAGUAUCCCUGUCUCCUAUACAUAUCUACCUCCAUCACUCCAGUAUCUCUGUCUCCUUCCCCCUAUACAUAUCUACCUCCAUCACUCCAGUAUCUCUGUCUCCUUACCCCUAUACAUAUCUACCUCCAUCACUCCAGUAUCCCUGUCUCCUUCCCCCUAUACAUAUCUACCUCCAUCACUCCAGUAUCUCUGUCUCCUUCCCCCUAUAUAUAUCUACCUCCAUCACUCCAGUAUCUCUGUCUCCUUACCCCUAUACAUAUCUACCUCCAUCACUCCAGUAUCUCUGUCUCCUUACCCCUAUACAUAUCUACCUCCAUCACUCCAGUAUCCCUGUCUCCUUCCCCCUAUACAUAUCUACCUCCAUCACUCCAGUAUCCCUGUCUCCUUCUCCCUAUACAUAUCUACCUCCAUCACUCCAGUAUCUCUGUCUCCUUACCCCUAUAUAUAUCUACCUCCAUCACUCCAGUAUCCCUGUCUCCUAUACAUAUCUACCUCCAUCACUCCAGUAUCUCUGUCUCCUUCUCCCUAUACAUAUCUACCUCCAUCACUCCAGUAUCUCUGUCUCCUUCCCCCUAUAUAUAUCUACCUCCAUCACUCCAGUAUCUCUGUCUCCUUACCCCUAUACAUAUCUACCUCCAUCACUCCAGUAUCUCUGUCUCCUUACCCCUAUACAUAUCUACCUCCAUCACUCCAGUAUCCCUGUCUCCUUCCCCCUAUACAUAUCUACCUCCAUCACUCCAGUAUCUCUGUCUCCUUCCCCCUAUAUAUAUCUACCUCCAUCACUCCAGUAUCUCUGUCUCCUUACCCCUAUAUAUAUCUACCUCCAUCACUCCAGUAUCUCUGUCUCCUUACCCCUAUACAUAUCUACCUCCAUCACUCCAGUAUCUCUGUCUCCUUACCCCUAUACAUAUCUACCUCCAUCACUCCAGUAUCCCUGUCUCCUUCUCCCUAUACAUAUCUACCUCCAUCACUCCAGUAUCUCUGUCUCCUUACCCCUAUAUAUAUCUACCUCCAUCACUCCAGUAUCCCUGUCUCCUAUACAUAUCUACCUCCAUCACUCCAGUAUCUCUGUCUCCUUCUCCCUAUACAUAUCUACCUCCAUCACUCCAGUAUCCCUGCCCCCUAUACAUAUCUACCUCCAUCACUCCAGUAUCUCUGUCUCCUUCCCCCUCUACAUAUCUACCUCCAUCACUCCAGUAUCCCUGCCCCCUAUACAUAUCUACAGUGCCUUGCUGUAGAUCUGUGGAGUCAUCAGACCAGUCGCCACUUCCUCAUACUGUGUUUUUAUGUGUGUUCAUCCUCCUCACAUAUCAAACCUUUUUUAUGA